AAGCACUGAAGUUACUCAAGAGGGUAAACUGAUUAGCUGUUACAGAGAAAAAAGAUUCAGAUUUGUUGAAGCCAGCGUAAUCGGCCGGGUAAAAAUAGAGACGGAGGAAUUUGGUGCCAGAGGAAACAGUGAAAGUGUAUGUGAAUUUCGAUUUGAAAAUACGAGCAUUCAUAUAAGGGACUCUAGAAACUGAAGAAUCUUGUUCAGAGGCUUUGGCUGGUGUGGAUAUGCUUGAACUGUUGGAGGUUAAGGAAUUCAGAUAGUGGAUAUCAGUAUCCCAUCGACGGCCAUCAGAUUCGUCCGUUGAGACUGAUGGUGCUCCACAGUUUAGCAAGAAAUGGACUGUUGCAUUGUACGGUGAUGGCGCGACAGAAAUAGUGGCCGUUAUGAGAUGCAAGAUGAGAAAGGAAAUUAUAGCACUAGUUAACAUGGUGUGGUGUUGUGCAAAAAUUCUGUAAUAUUUGGUAUGCAGACCAAACGAACAAUUAUACUGAACAAUUGCCAUGAAUUGAAGAAGGUUGACUCUCAAGUCAGUUGGUGUUAUAAUUUUUAAUUUGCUAUGGUUGAAAUUAAGUUUAUGUUUACAUUAGAGACACUCCACGAUUGUCAUUGAACAAUACUAUGACAAAUCCUCUUAAAGCUCUCCUUAUACUACCUAGUUUUUCAAUCGCCCAAAAUUCAUUCUGGAUUGCUCUAUCUGAACUCAACAGUAUUCCAGAACCAAUUAAAAAUGCAUCACACACACACAGAAAUCUGACUACAGUAUAGUCUCGAGAGAACCUUAUCUGUUGCAUACAAGAAAAUACGUUCAGAAGAAAACAAGAUGUACAUCUGUGCUGUCAUAAAAAGAAUUUUAUUGCGCUGUUAUUAUAAUUUGGAUGACCAUUUAAAUAAUUAACUCGAUUAUAUAUUAUUCAGAGAGAUUCAAUGGCUUCAGCGCAGAGUGAUGUAAAUUGCCAACUUUGUAGUAGCAAAUAAAGGGCACAAGUAAUUAAUCAUCAUGAAGGAGGAAAGUUACUGUGGCAACCAAUUCCUAGUUGUAGUACUAAUAUGCUAUUCAACUACAUCAAUUAAGUAAAUGGUUAACUGAUUGAAGGACUAAAAAUCAGUGACCCAAGAGUUGACCUCGUCAAAGAAUGCCAGAAAAAUUAAAGGUGCAAGGAUUAGGAAUAAUUGCACUAAAAAUGGUGCCAUAUACUCCAUAAGUUUCAUAUUACUUGAUCCUUAUUGACUCGGCACAUCCGUUGAGACAAUUUUAGUUAGGGAUGUAUUUUUACUAAUUUAAUCUUAUUAAUGAUGCUUUAAAAUUCUAAAUUUGAUUAUUAUUACUUUAUUGAGUUAUUAAUACUAAUAGAAAAAAAAUUAACAAAAUUCUCUUGAUUUCAUAAAUUGGAUAAAUAAAUUGAAACAUUUACUUUUAGCAUAGGGUAAGUAAAACGAAACGAAGCGAGUAUUUUCCUAGGAAAAUACAGAAGGAAAACAAAGAAAUAAAAAAGGCGAGGAAAACUUGCUAAUUGGCUAUUUUUUUCCUUGUAGGCCAUGCAAAUGAAUUAUCCUAAUAACGAUGUUGUCUUUCAUAUUUUCGUAAGUCUUUGUUAUUUUCUGCUAAAUAAUUCCAGUGGAUCAGUAGGUCAUAUAGAGUAAGACAUACAUGAAAUGACAGGUUUUGGAUUAUUUCUUUGGAAUUUGGAUGAUUCUUUGUUAAAUUUUGACCUGACAUUUCCACCUUAACAUGACAUGAGAUGGAAAAAAUAUCCAAUUUUGCAUGUUUAUACGGUCAUCAAAACUCCUAUUAUCCAAUGAUAUGAGAUGUAUUAAUUUUUCCUUUCGACUAUUCCGUGAAAAAAUUGCGGAUCCCUUCUUGUUCAUAUUUGUAUCGACACAUUAAAAAUCCUUAAUUUCAGGUAGAGAAAGAAAUAAGUGCUAAUUAAUGAUUCCAUCCCUUUAUCAAUCUAUCUUUGAUGUAUCAAGCCUAGUCUAAGUGACCCAUUGAAUUAGAUCCGCGUUAAACAAUCCAAAGGAGUACCGUCAACCCCUAAAAGUGUUUUCCCUUCUCGCCCGAAAGAAAAAGAUGUUUAUCAAGACUGCUUGACGCUAGCCAAGUCUCUGUGUUUUUGCACUGUUAAAACGCAAGUGAAAUAGGAAAGAAAAAUAAGCAACUCUGGGCCAUGAAAUAGUAACCUUUUUUUUGUCUCCAUUCUUUUCAUAAUUUCAUUUCUCUAUCUGCAACUCACUCUCAUUCAUUUCCAUGUUUGUUUCUUCUUCUUUAUCCGCUUGAAAAUCUUCUCAGUAGGGCGGGUAUGAAUGGAACUUUAUUAGUUUGCCUAAGAAAAAAUAGUGCGACUAUAUUGUUUGUAUAGCUUGUGAUGAUAGGCUAGUCCCUCCGUCCACUUUUGUAGUUUCUCAUAUCCACUUUUACUCGUUCAGCUUUAAAAAUCAAGAAAUAAUUUAUUAUUUAAUUUUAAUAUAAUUUUUAAAAUAUUAAAUUUAUUAUAUUUAAAUAAUAAAUAAUUAUUCUUUAAGGAUUGGAUAUGUCAAAUCGAUACCGUGCAACUAAAGAUGGACGAGGGAGUAUUCAUCUACCUCAAUUAAAUGGUUUACUGAUUGAAGUUGAUGUCACGAUCAGAGUCGAGGCCCUACCCGCGACGGGCAUCCCGAACCAUGAAGGUCCGAGAUACCCCUUAUCCCAACCUACUAGUGAUAUUGUUCCGAACCACGAAAGCCCGAGAUAUCCCUUGCCCCAACUCACUAGUGAUAUUGUCCGCUUUGGACCUAGGCCUUCACGACUUUAAAAUGCGUCACUAGGAAGUAAGACUUGCUUACUUAUAUACCCAGCACCCCUCUUGUAUUUUGUCGAUGUGGGACUCCUUAUACUAAGUUGGGUGUCACAUACACCACCUCUUAUGGACUCAGCGUCCUCGCUGAGGUUUACCCACCGAAUAAGAUUUGUCUAGACUCAAGACUGAGGUUUGUUCCGUCUUACCGGAAUUUGCCUACACUUUGUUUGAACUCUGGCCCACAUUGACAGGUCUGACACAGGAGAGACUCCGAUACCAUUCUGUCACGACCCAAGCCGAGGCCCUGGCCGCGACAGGCAUCCCGAACCAUCAAGGCCUAAGACACUCCUGUAACUCCCCAACCCACUAGUGAUAUUGUCCGCUUUGGACUCAGGCCCACACGACUUUAAAACGCGUCACUAAAAAAUAAGACUUACUUACUUAUAUACCAAGCAUCCCUCUUAUAUUUUAUUAACGUGAGAUUUUUUAUCUUAAGUUGGAGUGUUAUAUACGCCAUUCCUUAUGGAGUCAGCGUAAAGAUAAGGAAUUAUUGCACUAAAAAUGGGGACCAUAUAAAAGAAAUCAAUAGAAGUAAAAAAGAUGAGGGAAACUUCUUAAUGGGGGCGUCUUGUAUUUGUCUUGUAGGCCAUGAGCAAGACUUUUCUUAAUAUAAUACUCCAUUCGUUUAAAAAAGAACGAUGUAUUUUGACUUGAUAUAAAAUUUAAAAGAUUUUUAAAUUUUAUGAUUUUAAAUUAAAGUUGUGUUAAAUAUGUCAAAAUGUCCUUUAAUCUUUUGAUCAUAAACAUGUCAUGUAGAAAGUUAAAAUUAAAAUAUUGCCAAAAAAGAAAAGAGAUCAUUUUUUUUAAACGGAUUAAAAAGGAAAGUAAUUAUUUUUUUUAAAACGGAGGGAGUAAUAACUUGUUAAAAGUCUGUUAUGCUCAACUCAAUAAUUCCUCCGGCCAUAUAUUGUUAGUAUAGGCAUACGUGAAAUGAAAGGUUUUGAAUUAUUUUCUUUGGAAUUUGGUUGAUUUUUUGUUAAAUUUUGACCCGACUUUUCAACACUGAUAGAAAAUGAAGGAAAUAAAAAAGACGUACUACUAUGUUUAUAUUAACCAAUGAGAUGUACUCUCUUACGACAUUAUUUUAUUGUUUUGAUAAUUCUUUCAAAAGGAUGUGGAUCUACCCGUGUUCAUAUUAGUAUUAUACUCCCCUUCCACUUUUACUUGUCAAUCCAGUGGCGAUAGUUAAGAAUUUUUUAUGUGGGAUGGGUGGAUGGAGGUCGGGGUUUACCAAACGUUGGUGUAUAUUUCUAAAUUGUUUUUGACCCAUAUACACAAUAUUAUUUUUUGUAUGCACAAUAUAACUUUUGAAAGGACGUUGGAGUGACUAUUUUUGAGUCAAUGAAGCUAUAUAUGCCUCUGUUUGUCACAUUUCGCUGUUAAAUUGUAUGUACUUGGUGAGUAGUACUGUGAGAAUGACGACUGCACAUCAAGUGAGAGUUGUGAAUUUCAUAAGGUAAGCAAACAAAUAAUUACUUGUUGUAAAGUAAUUAAUAAUUCCGUCCUUCGGUUUGGUUUAUUUUAUUUAGUAAGGCUGCCAAUAAGUCUCGUCUUUUUUGUUUUUGCACUGUUUGGACGCAAGUGAACUGACGGGGACACGGGGUAGAUGCAAAACAAACAAAGAUGAAGAAAAGUAGCUACUCUAGUAGUCUUAUUUAUUAUAUAUACUGGGCCAUAUAAUAGCAACAUUUUCUUGUCCCAUUCCUUUCAUCUGCUAUACAUGACUCAUUCAUUUUGAUAUUGUUUCUUUUUCUUGAUUCAUUUUGAUGUUGUUUCUUUUUCUUGAUGUGAUUUGUUUUUGGUUUUCUGCUUAAAAAUCGACCGUAGGGCAGUAUGAAUGGAACUUAACUAGUCUGCCCAAGAAAAAAUAGUGAAACUAUCGUAUAGCUUAUACACUUCUGAAUAUUCGCUACAAUACAUCGAUAUUAAUAAGGAGACAAAUUCAAUAAAGGAAAAAGAAACAGAGAAAGAGCUAAUAUGCAACUUAUGUAUGUAACAAUCUCAUCGACCCGUUGGAUUCAAAAUCUCAGAGAAAAUGGUAUCACUCUUCAGCUUGUCAUCACUACUGGUCAUGGAUGUACCACUGCUGGUUGAUUUUCCUCCAACUUCAUAUGAACCUGAAAAGGCCUCGCCUUCAUCUGUAGAUAUAUUGGUAUGACCAUUCACAAUCAAGGGGAAAGACGGGCUAGCUGGGUAACUGUUCCCUUCCAUUUUGUGACCUCUAUUAUCUGCUGCAUCUUGAAGCUUUAAUACAAAUUCUAAAUUCCAGACAACAUCGCCCAUUGAUGGCCUUUGAACCCCCUGAUCCUUCAAGCAAUUAUAUGCUACUUCUGCAAACUUGUUUAAGCACUCCGGGGCAAUUUGUCCUUCCAAAGUCGGAUCAAUUAUCUGUUCAAGAUUUCCUUUUUUACAGCACCUACAAGCCCAAUCAGCCAAAUUCACUUGCCCUUUCGGCAUUCUAGGCAUUAAUGCUGGCCUAGCGCACAACACUUCGAAUAACACCACCCCAAAAGAAUACACAUCAGAUUUUUCUGUUAAUUGUUGUCGCUUAUAGUAUUCAGGAUCAACAUACCCAAAGCUUCCUUUCACAGCAGUGCUAACAUGGGUAUUUUCUGACCCACCAAGCGGACCAAUCUUGGAUAAUCCAAAAUCUGACACCUUAGCAACCCAUUUAUCAUCCAAUAAAAUGUUGGUCGACUUGACAUCUCGAUGAAUAAUGGUGUGCUUUGUACCUGUGAAAGUAAAUCUAACGAUCAUGAAUUUUAUCUACUAUAGAUGACAAUAGAUUCAAAAGUAUCAUUAAUCACGUCAAAACAUUCAAAUUUUAAUCUACUAGAAAAGCAAAUCAUUAUAUAUUAACAUUACCUACUAGUGACAAUCAAAACCUACCCAUCAAGGUGACUUUACUGUUUAAGUGCGCAAAGUUUAGUUACUUCAAUAUGAUUAAAUAAUAUACAAGUUUACUGUUAUACCGUAUAAAGUUCAGUGACUAUGAGUGAGAUUAAAUGUAUACCUGUAUGGAGAUAACACAAUCCUUUUGCUGCGCCAAUGCAAAUCUCAAGGCGUUUCCUCCAUGGAAGAGGAGCAUUAUCAGCUUUGUACAAGUGAUCACGGAGAGUUCCAUGAGCCAUGUAAUCAUAAACCAAAAUCAUCUCAUUGUUAUCAUCACAAUAACCAAUUAAGGAUACCAAAUGCAGAUGUCUUAGCUUUGAUAACAUGUGAAUCUCUGUCUCAAACUCGCGAACUCCUUGCUUUGAUGAAGGAUUCAAUCUCUUGAUUGCAACUGUGGUUGUGCCGUUGUCUAUGUACCCUUUGUACACAUUACCGAAACCUCCAUACCCAAUCACAAAAUUGUCAUCAAAAUUUCCUGUUGCAGCUUUUAUCUCCUCCAGUAAAAAGUGUCGGCACAGAUUGGAGGGUAAUGAUGAUGAGCCUGACCCGCUGGUCCUUUGGGUUGAGUUCGAUGUAAUUGAUAAAGGGAUCCACGAUGAUUUUGUAACGCUUGUAUGCAGAUCCUUUCCCUUUUUCCUCCGCUGGAAAAUCAAGAAACAUAGAAUUGACAACAGAGCAAUUCCACUAAUCACACCUGCUGUGAUAACAACAAAGACAUGCCAUUUCUUUUUCUUUUUUUCCUUUGGGGUUGAAUUCUCUGGAACUUCUAACCGCGAUUCAGGAUUUGGGACGGAAAAAUUUCCUUUUCGAUCGCUCAACUUGAAAAUUUCUAAGCCAUUUAAGAUAGCAUUUUCAUACACAGCUUUUGUUUCCAUGUUAGGUCGCAAUUCAAGCGACACAUCUUUCUUGCCUCGUCGGCCAUCUGGAUCUCUCACAAACACCACGUAGUCUGUGUACAUCGGGACUCUCCAGCCGCGACUCCGUUGAAUCACAUCGACUAGUUGAUCUGCCGUUUGGUUUCCAAUGAGUAUAUCGAAAACCCGAUAGUUCUGUUCCUUAACUUCCAGCUGAAUCUCACAAAAAUGGAGCCUGAAAAGAUAGUAGAACCCAGCGUCAAGAGGAAAAAUCCAAUCCAGGCUCUGGCUGUAAUUGGCGAUGGUCCUAGAGGUUGUGUAAACUAUGUUUGGCGCCGUAUAAGCCGGGGUUUCAGAAGUGUAAUUAAUGUUGACAUCUAUAUGAGGAGUUUGAUAGUCAUAUCCAACAACAAAGUCUUCAUCUGAAUCCCAUACCCGAUACAUGCCUGUAUCCCCUGUGCUCGAAACCAAAUUGCCUCCCACGUUCAGCCUGUACACAUUUUCAAGAGCAGUGCUGUUAUUGAUGUAAUAAAGAUUAUACUGCCCCACCAAUAUGAUGCCACCACUAUCUUCACGGAGAUAAAGAUCAGUUGGCAUGGAAACAAUCUCGAUCCCAUUAACAAAAGCGUAAGAGUUCGGCGAAGGAGAAAAGGUUAUAUUGAGUAUCUGAGUUUCAUCAACAUUGAUGACAUAUUCUUUUUGAAUUUUUAAACUAGAAUCGGUACUUGCAGCGACCGUGAGGAAAGCGCUGAAGUUACUCAAGAGGGUAAACUGAUUAGCUGUUACAGAGAAAAAGGAUUCGGAUUUGUUGAAGCCAAGGUAUGUGGUGGGGUAAAAAUAGAGACGGAGGAAACUAGUGCCAGGAGGAACACGGAAAGGGUAGGUGAAUUUAGAUUUGAAAAUACGAGCAUUCGUAUAAGGGACUCUAGAAACUGAAGAGUCUUGUUCAGAGGCUGUGGCUGGUGAUGAUAUGGUUGAUGAAUUGGAAGGUAACAAAUUGGGAUAGUGGGUAUCAGUAUCCCAUCGACGGCCAUCUUCAUCAGUGGCGACUGAUGGUGCGCCACAGUUGAGCAAGAAAUAUACUGUGGCAUUAUACGAUGAAGGCGUGACAGAAAUAGUGGCCGUUAUGAGUUGUAAGAGGAGAAAUGAAAUCAAAGCAAUGGCAACCAUGGUUGUGGUGGUUAUGAAAGUAAAAUACUACUAUGGAUUUGGUGUGUAGAUAGAUAUUAGUUAGAUGAAGUAAUAAUUAUACUCAACAAUAGCAAAGACUUGAGGGUUGACUCUCAAGUCAUUUUUGCUACUGUAAUUCUUAAUUUUGUAUGGCUGAAAGCCGACGUAGACCGAAAUAGUGUCCUUUGUCAUCAUUCGUUUAUUUUACUUUUUUGUUCAAGUAUUGUACAAAAUGAAAUAGCCUAGUAUUCAGUCUUCCGUACUUCUUGUGUUAUUAUAUAAUACUUAGUCUUUUUUUAAUUCAUUUAAAAAAGAAUGUUAAAUUUUUUUUUUUUUUUUUUGCUAACUAUUUAAAGAUAGAAUUUCAUGUUUACUCUUAUUGAUCCCACUUAUAAUGACCGACUUAAUUAAAAAUAGUAGUAGUAUAUUUUUUUAAUAAAAGAUAAUUUGAUAAAAAUUCAUCAAGUCUUUUCUUAUUUAUUAAACUCUAUAGUCUAUAUCCAGUCAAACUAUGACACAUAAAAUAAAACGCAGAAAGCAUUAUUUUCCUUUAUAAGUACUCACUGUAGCCCAACUUUCAUGACAUCGAUAAACUUUGACAAAGUAUUUAAGAAAUAAAGAAAUACGUUGAAAAUUUAUAGUCUAAAAUAAAUAUUUUAUUAUAAAAAUGGAAGUUUAAAGUUAAUUUAUUUUUGUUUAUAGAAAUAUGGCAUUUUUUGGGGAUAAAUUAAAACAAAAUGAGUCAUAGAAGUUGGAAUAACGAGAGUAAUUAAUUGACAAGAAAAGAUCAAUAUAUUUCAUUUAAGAAAUGAGUUAACUUUAAAUUUUUAGUUUUAAUAAGUAAUUUAUAGUCAGACAAGAAAGCAAAUCAUUAUAUAUUAACAUUACCUACUAGUGACAAUCAAAACCUACCCAUCAAGGUGACUUUACUGUUUAAGUGCGCAAAGUUUAGUUACUUCAAUAUGAUUAAAUAAUAUACAAGUUUACUGUUAUACCGUAUAAAGUUCAGUGACUAUGAGUGAGAUUAAAUGUAUACCUGUAUGGAGAUAACACAAUCCUUUUGCUGCGCCAAUGCAAAUCUCAAGGCGUUUCCUCCAUGGAAGAGGAGCAUUAUCAGCUUUGUACAAGUGAUCACGGAGAGUUCCAUGAGCCAUGUAAUCAUAAACCAAAAUCAUCUCAUUGUUAUCAUCACAAUAACCAAUUAAGGAUACCAAAUGCAGAUGUCUUAGCUUUGAUAACAUGUGAAUCUCUGUCUCAAACUCGCGAACUCCUUGCUUUGAUGAAGGAUUCAAUCUCUUGAUUGCAACUGUGGUUGUGCCGUUGUCUAUGUACCCUUUGUACACAUUACCGAAACCUCCAUACCCAAUCACAAAAUUGUCAUCAAAAUUUCCUGUUGCAGCUUUUAUCUCCUCCAGUAAAAAGUGUCGAGGGUAAUGAUGAUGAGCCUGACCCGCUGGUCCUUUGGGUUGAGUUCGAUGUAAUUGAUAAAGGGAUCCACGAUGAUUUUGUAACGCUUGUAUGCAGAUCCUUUCCCUUUUUCCUCCGCUGGAAAAUCAAGAAACAUAGAAUUGACAACAGAGCAAUUCCACUAAUCACACCUGCUGUGAUAACAACAAAGACAUGCCAUUUCUUUUUCUUUUUUUCCUUUGGGGUUGAAUUCUCUGGAACUUCUAACCGCGAUUCAGGAUUUGGGACGGAAAAAUUUCCUUUUCGAUCGCUCAACUUGAAAAUUUCUAAGCCAUUUAAGAUAGCAUUUUCAUACACAGCUUUUGUUUCCAUGUUAGGUCGCAAUUCAAGCGACACAUCUUUCUUGCCUCGUCGGCCAUCUGGAUCUCUCACAAACACCACGUAGUCUGUGUACAUCGGGACUCUCCAGCCGCGACUCCGUUGAAUCACAUCGACUAGUUGAUCUGCCGUUUGGUUUCCAAUGAGUAUAUCGAAAACCCGAUAGUUCUGUUCCUUAACUUCCAGCUGAAUCUCACAAAAAUGGAGCCUGAAAAGAUAGUAGAACCCAGCGUCAAGAGGAAAAAUCCAAUCCAGGCUCUGGCUGUAAUUGGCGAUGGUCCUAGAGGUUGUGUAAACUAUGUUUGGCGCCGUAUAAGCCGGGGUUUCAGAAGUGUAAUUAAUGUUGACAUCUAUAUGAGGAGUUUGAUAGUCAUAUCCAACAACAAAGUCUUCAUCUGAAUCCCAUACCCGAUACAUGCCUGUAUCCCCUGUGCUCGAAACCAAAUUGCCUCCCACGUUCAGCCUGUACACAUUUUCAAGAGCAGUGCUGUUAUUGAUGUAAUAAAGAUUAUACUGCCCCACCAAUAUGAUGCCACCACUAUCUUCACGGAGAUAAAGAUCAGUUGGCAUGGAAACAAUCUCGAUCCCAUUAACAAAAGCGUAAGAGUUCGGCGAAGGAGAAAAGGUUAUAUUGAGUAUCUGAGUUUCAUCAACAUUGAUGACAUAUUCUUUUUGAAUUUUUAAACUAGAAUCGGUACUUGCAGCGACCGUGAGGAAAGCGCUGAAGUUACUCAAGAGGGUAAACUGAUUAGCUGUUACAGAGAAAAAGGAUUCGGAUUUGUUGAAGCCAAGGUAUGUGGUGGGGUAAAAAUAGAGACGGAGGAAACUAGUGCCAGGAGGAACACGGAAAGGGUAGGUGAAUUUAGAUUUGAAAAUACGAGCAUUCGUAUAAGGGACUCUAGAAACUGAAGAGUCUUGUUCAGAGGCUGUGGCUGGUGAUGAUAUGGUUGAUGAAUUGGAAGGUAACAAAUUGGGAUAGUGGGUAUCAGUAUCCCAUCGACGGCCAUCUUCAUCAGUGGCGACUGAUGGUGCGCCACAGUUGAGCAAGAAAUAUACUGUGGCAUUAUACGAUGAAGGCGUGACAGAAAUAGUGGCCGUUAUGAGUUGUAAGA
Molecule: long non-coding RNA, 10650 nt
Filed under: Capsicum annuum
Lineage: Eukaryota; Viridiplantae; Streptophyta; Magnoliopsida; Solanales; Solanaceae
Description: long non-coding RNA (CANN_LNC003782)
Source: RNAcentral